This 497-nucleotide ribosomal RNA is filed under the name uncultured bacterium. RNAcentral describes it as "partial 16S ribosomal RNA". It matches the Rfam family "Bacterial small subunit ribosomal RNA", at positions 28 to 507 of the family's 1533-position model. The record is from RNAcentral.
GAUGAACGCUGGCGGCGUGCCUAAUACAUGCAAGUCGAGCGAACGGACGAGAAGCUUGCUUCUCUGAUGUUAGCGGCGGACGGGUGAGUAACACGUGGAUAACCUACCUAUAAGACUGGGAUAACUUCGGGAAACCGGAGCUAAUACCGGAUAAUAUUUUGAACCGCAUGGUUCAAAAGUGAAGGACGGUCUUGCUGUCACUUAUAGAUGGAUCCGCGCUGCAUUAGCUAGUUGGUAAGGUAACGGCUUACCAAGGCAACGAUGCAUAGCCGACCUGAGAGGGUGAUCGGCCACACUGGAACUGAGACACGGUCCUGACUCCUACGGGAGGCAGCAGUAGGGAAUCUUCCGCAAUGGGCGAAAGCCUGACGGAGCAACGCCGCGUGAGUGAUGAAGGUCUUCGGAUCGUAAAACUCUGUUAUUAGGGAAGAACAUAUGUGUAAGUAACUGUGCACAUCUUGACGGUACCUAAUCAGAAAGCCACGGCUAACUACGUG